CAGCAGCCACGGUAAUACGUAGGUGGCAAGCGUUAUCCGGAAUUAUUGGGCGUAAAGCGCGCGUAGGCGGUUUUUUAAGUCUGAUGUGAAAGCCCACGGCUCAACCGUGGAGGGUCAUUGGAAACUGGAAAACUUGAGUGCAGAAGAGGAAAGUGGAAUUCCAUGUGUAGCGGUGAAAUGCGCAGAGAUAUGGAGGAACACCAGUGGCGAAGGCGACUUUCUGGUCUGUAACUGACGCUGAUGUGCGAAAGCGUGGGGAUCAAACAGGAUUAGAUACCCCUGUAGUCCCUGUCUCUUAUAC
This 301-nucleotide ribosomal RNA is filed under the name uncultured bacterium. RNAcentral describes it as "partial 16S ribosomal RNA". It matches the Rfam family "Bacterial small subunit ribosomal RNA", at positions 509 to 807 of the family's 1533-position model. The record is from RNAcentral.